This 253-nucleotide ribosomal RNA is filed under the name uncultured bacterium. Its description in RNAcentral is "partial 16S ribosomal RNA". It matches the Rfam family "Bacterial small subunit ribosomal RNA", at positions 524 to 776 of the family's 1533-position model. The record is from RNAcentral.
UACGUAGGGUGCAAGCGUUGUCCGGAAUUAUUGGGCGUAAAGAGCUCGUAGGCGGUUUGUCGCGUCUGCUGUGAAAACUCAGGGCUUAACCCUGAGCCUGCAGUGGGUACGGGCAGACUAGAGUGUGGUAGGGGAGAUCGGAAUUCCUGGUGUAGCGGUGGAAUGCGCAGAUAUCAGGAGGAACACCGGUGGCGAAGGCGGAUCUCUGGGCCAUAACUGACGCUGAGGAGCGAAAUCAUGGGGAGCGAACAGG